AUCCUAUUUUCGUCCCUUGAAAACCUCUGUAAUUCACUUUUACCCAAAUCGAAACUCACAAAGAACCCUAGAAUUGAAAAUCAGAAAUUGUUCCUCUUCCAAUUUCCCAAAUCCCCAUUUCAGAUGGUUUUCAACCCCUAAUCUCCCAACCCUACAUCCUGCCUCAUCAUCAAGUAACCUAAACCCCCAAAGAUUAAUUCUCUAAAUUGCAGGUUAUCAGUGGGUUAUUCUAGCCUUUGAUUUGUUCUUUAUGAUUUUCUGUAUCACAGUGGCCUGUAUUUUUGCAUUGUUCUGUUGCGUUCCUAUCUUAUGUACAGUUGCCUACUAAAAAUUUGAUUAGCUGGACACUUAGCCCCUGUUUGGCUCCCAUUACGGGGAAAAUUUAAUGUAUAGAAUAGUGUGUUUUGAAAAAUGAGUGGUUGAAAAAGAAAGAAAAAUUUUCGAUUUACGUGUAAUAUUAUUUUAUGGAAGAUUGUGUGGUUGAAAAUAUGAGAGAGAAAAAUAGAAUGUAAUGUAAUGUAAUGUAAUGAAAAUCAAACAAGGGCUUAAUGUGAACUAAAACUAAGCUUAUCAUAUUCAGUAGUUUAGAUUACUCAUCAAAGAAAAAAGAUUAAGACCAGCAACUUUUGUUUGUAGUUCUUGUCAAUUUCCACUUCUAGUCUUGUUUGUGAAGUUGUUAAAGGUUCUGAAUUUUGUAAUUGGGUUCUUUUAUCAGUCUCCUGGUCAUGCAGCAAUUCCUUAGUAAUUACUUUUUUUAAAGCCAAAAUCAUAUGUCGAGUACACAACUUUAAGUCCAUUUAUUCUCAAAGAGAGAGGCUCAUUGAUUGUUAAGGCAUCUUCUGAUGUCGAUGGAGUAGGAUCGACUGAUCCAGAGUCUCCUGCCCUUCCUUCGAAAAUUUAUGAGGAAAAUGUGCCUAUUGAGGACCUUUUUCUUGAAUCCAAGUUAUAGCUGAAGCUUGGGCAGAAGAUGAGGAUGAAGGCGACAAGUAAGAUUAGGCUAAGGAGGAGGCUUGUUAGGAACCUUGUGUUAUAAGCAUCUCAACAGUUUCAAAUUCGAGUUCUGCAUAAAUACAUAUACCUCAACGCCGAAAUCACAAAUGGACUAGCUGCAG
Molecule: long non-coding RNA, 1112 nt
Filed under: Olea europaea subsp. europaea
Lineage: Eukaryota; Viridiplantae; Streptophyta; Magnoliopsida; Lamiales; Oleaceae
Source: RNAcentral